RNAcentral lists this ribosomal RNA (460 nucleotides) under uncultured bacterium. RNAcentral's name for it is "bacterial SSU rRNA". It matches the Rfam family "Bacterial small subunit ribosomal RNA", at positions 8 to 471 of the family's 1533-position model. The record is from RNAcentral.
AGAGUUUGAUCCUGGCUCAGAUUGAACGCUGGCGGCAUGCCUUACACAUGCAAGUCGAACGGCAGCACGGGGGCAACCCUGGUGGCGAGUGGCGAACGGGUGAGUAAUACAUCGGAACGUGCCCUGAAGUGGGGGAUAACGUAGCGAAAGUUACGCUAAUACCGCAUAUUCUGUGAGCAGGAGAGCAGGGGAUCGCAAGACCUUGCGCUUUAGGAGCGGCCGAUGUCGGAUUAGCUAGUUGGUGAGGUAAAGGCUCACCAAGGCGACGAUCCGUAGCGGGUCUGAGAGGAUGAUCCGCCACACUGGGACUGAGACACGGCCCAGACUCCUACGGGAGGCAGCAGUGGGGAAUUUUGGACAAUGGGCGAAAGCCUGAUCCAGCCAUGCCGCGUGAGUGAAGAAGGCCUUCGGGUUGUAAAGCUCUUUCGGCGGGGAAGAAAUCGCAUUCUCUAAUACAGAG